Molecule: ribosomal RNA, 117 nt
Filed under: Candidatus Gottesmanbacteria bacterium
Lineage: Bacteria; Candidatus Gottesmaniibacteriota
Source: RNAcentral
CCUGGUAAUUAGAGCGGAUUGGAACUACCUGAUCCCAUCCCGAACUCAGAAGUAAAACAAUCCAGCGCUGACGAUAGUGAUCCCGCAAGGGAUUGCGAAAAUAAGUCAUUGCCAGGA